RNAcentral lists this ribosomal RNA (261 nucleotides) under uncultured bacterium. Its description in RNAcentral is "partial 16S ribosomal RNA". It matches the Rfam family "Bacterial small subunit ribosomal RNA", at positions 1240 to 1500 of the family's 1533-position model. The record is from RNAcentral.
CAACGAGUCGCAAGACCGCGAGGUUUAGCAAAUCUCUUAAAGCCGUUCUCAGUUCGGAUUGUAGGCUGCAACUCGCCUACAUGAAGUCGGAAUCGCUAGUAAUCGCGGAUCAGCAUGCCGCGGUGAAUACGUUCCCGGGCCUUGUACACACCGCCCGUCACACCAUGAGAGUUUGUAACACCCAAAGCCGGUGGGGUAACCUUUUGGAGCCAGCCGUCUAAGGUGGGACAGAUGAUUGGGGUGAAGUCGUAACAAGGUAUC